UACGUAGGGUGCAAGCGUUGUCCGGAAUUAUUGGGCGUAAAGAGCUCGUAGGCGGUCUGUCGCGUCGGAUGUGAAAACCCAGGGCUCAACCCUGGGCCUGCAUUCGAUACGGGCGGACUAGAGUUCGGUAGGGGAGACUGGAAUUCCUGGUGUAGCGGUGAAAUGCGCAGAUAUCAGGAGGAACACCGGUGGCGAAGGCGGGUCUCUGGGCCGAUACUGACGCUGAGGAGCGAAAGCGUGGGGAGCAAACAGG
RNAcentral lists this ribosomal RNA (253 nucleotides) under uncultured bacterium. Its description in RNAcentral is "partial 16S ribosomal RNA". It matches the Rfam family "Bacterial small subunit ribosomal RNA", at positions 524 to 776 of the family's 1533-position model. The record is from RNAcentral.